GCCAAGUCAUUUGAUGCCACUUUGCAUUCCAAUCUCAAGACGAAGAAAGUCGAAAAAGCUUUUACAAAAUCAUUAUUAGCUCCAGAUGUACUUAUCUCCAUAGUGUGUGCGGUGUUUGAUUCAUCAACAAAAUAUCCUGUGCCAUUGAAUUGUCUACAAGGAUUUGACCUACCGAACAAUUUACUCGACAUUCUUCGUUUUAGUCAAGAAAAGAUAGUUAUAACCAUGGAUGUGGAACACGUGUUUCACAAGUUUAAAAUAGAAAAAAAAAACAAACAACGUUGUAGUCUUUGUUUUAUAUCAAAACAAUAAACAACCUCUUGUGAUGACAAGAACUGUCUUUGGCAAUACUGCAUCACCUGCACUCGCAAAUUAUGGAUUCCGCAAACUUGUAGAAAUACUGAUCAAGACAUGCAUCCUCUCGUUAACGGAAGAUUCUAUGUAGAUGACAGAUUGAUAUCCUGUAAAAGAUCAGACUGUAAAACUUCACAUCAAGUGGCCUUCAACUCGAUAUUUAGAUAUAUUGAUGACGUUUUAUCUAUUACAGUGAUCGACACCUGUGACCUAGAUUGUUCUGGAUCUUGGAUGUUUACCACUUCAGUAGAAAGAUGACGUAACACUGAUAACAUAACUGUCUUUCAUGAAUGUUCCAGAUACUUCAUUUUUAUAAUAAAUGCACUGUGAAAGCUCUGGUAGAAAAGCACUUUACGAAUUGGUGAUUAAACGCAUUUUUUAUAUACAUGUAUCUGGGGAUUACAGGAAUUUGAUUGGAAUUAACAGCUGACUCGUGGCAGUUUUGUGUGUAAAGAAACCCGCAACGGACAUUUAUAUUAUUGUACAUUUGUCGUAAUUGCGUAAGUUAGUAUUUUGUUAUAAUUUUCUUUCAAUAAUUGUAAAUAAAUUGUGUUAAUUUUAAAUUGUCUAUGUUAGUAAAUUCUGCUGUUGCAUUAUUUAGGGUUUAUUCUGACCCAUAACUCAUAUCGAGGCGUCACCAGCUGUAAAUGAAGUACCCCUUUAGACCUAUGCGCUCAGGGCCAGGCUAUAACAGUGAUGGUUCGUUACCAUGCUAAAGCCUGCCCCAACACGAGACCUUCGUUUUUAAGGUCAUAUCCGAAAGACCCGUGAUUUUCACUUCUAAGUGCCGAACAUUUGGCGAAUAAGCAAUAAGUACCCAUUUCAACGUCUUAGGUUUAACUCGGCGAUUGCACGAGCCGGGUUCAAACUCAUGACCGCCCGGCAUAAGAAGCUAACGCUCUACCACUGAUCUACAGUGCCCGGUAUCUCGAUUCGAUAUAUCCCUGGAACUCGAAAUAAAAGACACCACAAAGUUUUCCACAUCUGCUCCGUACUUUUUUUUUUUUAUUGAAAAUAAAUAUUUAAAAACUUACAACUCAACUUUAUGAAAAACGGGAUGAUUUCAGCUUCUCCAUCGUCAACUUUCCAUAUUUAUGUAGUAAUACUCCAUUAUCACCUGCAUAUAGUGUUUAUAUCUCUCACCUGAUUCGAUACACAAGAGCUUGUUCUGCGUAUGAUCAUUUUUAAAUUGAGGCAGGCUGCUGACAAACAAGUUGAUGUUACCAGGUUUUCAACAGCCGUGUAAAGUCAGCAUUUCGGAAAUUCUAUCGUCAUUAUAAUGAGCUAGUUUAUCAAUACAACCUAUAAUUGAGUCAAAUGCUGUUUGACGUGUUAGGCCGUUCUUGGCACACUGAUUUUGACUACGGAUUACUCUGUUUACCUGAUCAAGAUAUAGAGCUCAUGUCGGUGCAACUGGUCGAUAGGGGAUGCUUACUUGUCCUAGGUACCUGAUCCCACACCUGGUAUAUCCAGGGGUCCGUGUUUGCGCAUCUCUUUAUUUUGUAUUACUUAUAGGAGUUAUGAGAUCGAUCACUGUUCAUUAUCUUCACCUUUCAUAGUCCUCUAUACCUGCUUCAUACUUAAUUUAUUGAACAUAGAUGCUAACGGUAAACUAACAACUGAACUUUAUGACGAACUGGGUGAUUUCAGCAUCUCCAUCGGUAAUAUGAUAAUCCCACAUUUAUGUAACAAUAUUAUUAUUAUUAUUUUAUUCAUUUAUAAAGCGCAAAAUUACCUAUAGUUUAUAUGCGCUGUACAAUGUUUGUGCUAAUAAUCAUAGAUAAUAUACUAAUAAAAGACCUGCAAGAGCUAUAAAGAAAAUGAUAAAACAAUAGAAAAAAUUAAAAUAAAACAUGGUAGUAAAAUGA
Long non-coding RNA from Ostrea edulis (European flat oyster), 2222 nucleotides. RefSeq lists it as uncharacterized. The record is from RefSeq and is a predicted model, not a curated record. Lineage: Eukaryota; Metazoa; Mollusca; Bivalvia; Ostreida; Ostreidae. The transcript has 2 exons.